UGGGGAAUAUUGCACAAUGGGCGCAAGCCUGAUGCAGCCAUGCCGCGUGUAUGAAGAAGGCCUUCGGGUUGUAAAGUACUUUCAGCGGGGAGGAAGGGAGUAAAGUUAAUACCUUUACUCAUUGACGUUACCCGCAGAAGAAGCACCGGCUAACUCCGUGCCAGCAGCCGCGGUAAUACGGAGGGUGCAAGCGUUAAUCGGAAUUACUGGGCGUAAAGCGCACGCAGGCGGUUUGUUAAGUCAGAUGUGAAAUCCCCGGGCUCAACCUGGGAACUGCAUCUGAUACUGGCAAGCUUGAGUCUCGUAGAGGGGGGUAGAAUUCCAGGUGUAGCGGUGAAAUGCGUAGAGAUCUGGAGGAAUACCGGAGGCGAAGGCGGCCCCCUGGACGAAGACUGACGCUCAGGUGCGAAAGCGUGGGGAGCAAACAGG
Molecule: ribosomal RNA, 429 nt
Filed under: Chloroflexota bacterium
Lineage: Bacteria; Bacillati; Chloroflexota
Description: Chloroflexi bacterium partial 16S ribosomal RNA
Rfam family: Bacterial small subunit ribosomal RNA
Source: RNAcentral